RNAcentral lists this long non-coding RNA (805 nucleotides) under Capsicum annuum. RNAcentral describes it as "long non-coding RNA (CANN_LNC011034)". Lineage: Eukaryota; Viridiplantae; Streptophyta; Magnoliopsida; Solanales; Solanaceae. The record is from RNAcentral.
AUAAUAAUAAUCAUCAUAAUAAUAAUAAUAGAAAAAAGAAAAACAAAUUUUAUUUGGGAUCAAGUCCAGUUCCGUUUAAACUAUAUAUUGCUGUGAAUUAUAAAAGCAAUAGAUCCCCUUUUUGCGUACCAACAAAUGUAAACACUAAAUUUUCCAUGUACCAGUUCUACUAUGCACCUAUGUGAAAGUAUUAACCUUAGCUGAUUCGCCUUCAAUUUUAAACCAUUAAUGAAAUUUCAUCCAGGUCAAAAAGGUGCUAAUAUGAGUGCCACAUAUUCAUAAUCAAACCCGGGGCAGUAUACGAUUACAAAAAAAAUAGCAAUAAACAAAACAAUCCACCUAGUGAACUAUGAUCUGGACACUCCUUUACAUCUAAUGAGGUAAAACAGAUACUACCUAAAGCUAGUAUUACUUCUAAUCCUUUCCUCUAUUACCAUAUGAAACAAAAACCACGAAUUUCAUUAGGUUGAUAAAGACGCAUUUUUAAUGACUAGCUUACCAUUUGAUCUAAAGACUCUAUAAACUAUGUUCUAAUCAUACAAAGCUCGAUUUAAUCACCCCCCCUAAAGAUAAACUAAAGGUAAACUAAAGAUAUAUUUUCAAUUUUUUUUUUCAAAACUCAACUAACACUCGCAUUCUCUUGAUAUGUUUCGGAAACUUUGAUUCAAUAUGUGUCCCUAAAGAUAAACUAAAGGUAAACUAAAGAUAUAUUUUCAAUUUUUUUUUUCAAAACUCAACUAACACUCGCAUUCUCUUGAUAUGUUUCGGAAACUUUGAUUCAAUAUGUGUCCUUGAAGGGUCAGGA